GUACAGUUCACCUUAUGCUUUGUCAUCUAAAAACGCAUACCUGAUGGCUUUAUGAAGGCGGUACGUUAAUAUUAAGUUUACAGAAAGCGAUCGCUAAGUCCGUGACUUAUGAAAAUCACGAUGUACGCAUUCAUGCAAUAAAAGAUGACGCGAAUUUCGGUUUCGAAUCUGUUUUUUGGAUGCGUAGUAGUUUCGUUUGACAUGCGAUCGCGCGUCGACAUCGGACGCUAUGGCACACUCGUGCCUUAUGUGCCACCGAAGCCCCGAAGUGGUCUGGCAUAUACCUUCACAUGUAAGUAAACGAAUGUAUCUCCUUGUUGAGAAUAUCACGCGAGUAGGCAGCUCUUGUGGUACAUCACAAUCGUUUGAGAAGCGUCACAGUAGAGCAUUUUUCUGCAUCCGGAGCGGUGUUUUUAUUUGCAGGUUUCCCUUCAGUAGGAAAUUGCUGGACAGGCGGACCAGCGCACCGGAAUUGUACUGGCGAAGCCACAAGCAACUCAAAGAAUCUGUUUAAUUGUUGCACUUUGAACAAUCAUGCUUCUACAAAGGCCACAGCAGAUCAACAGCCUGAUGCCGAGUAUUUCUGUGCCACGAAGUAAUCAAGAGGCGAGUGCCUAAUGCGGACGAAAUCGAGUGCAUCGAGACUUAGAACGACAGAAAGCUGAGCUAGUUGACAAUGCCUACGCCUAGCCACAGCAGCUCCCUCAUACAGACUCCACAAACCAAGAGGCCGUGGAGGCAAAUGCAGGCAGCCAGCACACCUCGAACAGCCACCUUGACUGCGGGUGUGUCACCCUAGUCGCCAAGGAAACAUUUGAGGGAAAGUGACAGGCAAUGUGAACAGCCACUUCUCCAUGUAAACAAUACUCUUUCUCUCGGAUGACUCCUACGCCUCACCACGCCAGCACACUUGUGCACAAAGAUGCCGCAGAGGCACGUGCAGGUCAGAGGCAAGAAGCAGUGGCACUGGUGUCGACAUUUACCCAAUUUCUUUUUCUUGCACUGAGGCAGCCAGCACACCUCGAACAGCCACCUUGACUGCGGCUGUGUCAGUAGAUUCCUGUUGUACAUAUGCUCAUAAUAAACUUCAGUAAACCUGAACUUCAUAAUAAACUUGAAGGCAAAUGGGA
Dermacentor albipictus is the source of this 1130-nucleotide long non-coding RNA. RefSeq lists it as uncharacterized. The record is from RefSeq and is a predicted model, not a curated record. Lineage: Eukaryota; Metazoa; Arthropoda; Arachnida; Ixodida; Ixodidae.